UACAGAGGGGGCAAGCGUUGUUCGGAAUUACUGGGUGUAAAGGGCGCGUAGGCGGCCUGCUAAGUCGAACGUGAAAUCCCCGGGCUCAACCCGGGAACUGCGUCCGAUACUGGUGGGCUUGAAUCCGGGAGAGGGAUGCGGAAUUCCAGGUGUAGCGGUGAAAUGCGUAGAUAUCUGGAGGAACACCGGUGGCGAAGGCGGCAUCCUGGAUCGGUAUUGACGCUGAGGCGCGAAAGCCAGUGGAGCAAACGGG
Molecule: ribosomal RNA, 253 nt
Filed under: uncultured bacterium
Lineage: Bacteria
Description: partial 16S ribosomal RNA
Rfam family: Bacterial small subunit ribosomal RNA
Source: RNAcentral